CCUACGGGAGGCAGCAGUGAGGAAUAUUGGACAAUGGGCGAAAGCCUGAUCCAGCAAUGCCGCGUGAGUGAUGAAGGCCUUAGGGUUGUAAAGCUCUUUUACCCGGGAUGAUAAUGACAGUACCGGGAGAAUAAGCUCCGGCUAACUCCGUGCCAGCAGCCGCGGUAAUACGGAGGGAGCUAGCGUUAUUCGGAAUUACUGGGCGUAAAGCGCACGUAGGCGGCUUUGUAAGUUAGAGGUGAAAGCCUGGAGCUCAACGCCAGAAUUGCCUUUAAGACUGCAUCGCUUGAAUCCAGGAGAGGUGAGUGGAAUUCCGAGUGUAGAGGUGAAAUUCGUAGAUAUUCGGAAGAACACCAGUGGCGAGGGCGGCUCACUGGACUGGUAUUGACGCUGAGGUGCGAAAGCGUGGGGAGCAAACAGGAUUAGAUCCCCUG
RNAcentral lists this ribosomal RNA (434 nucleotides) under uncultured Sphingomonadaceae bacterium. RNAcentral describes it as "partial 16S ribosomal RNA". It matches the Rfam family "Bacterial small subunit ribosomal RNA", at positions 338 to 789 of the family's 1533-position model. The record is from RNAcentral. Lineage: Bacteria; Pseudomonadati; Pseudomonadota; Alphaproteobacteria; Sphingomonadales; Sphingomonadaceae.